AGUAGGGAAUUUUCGGCAAUGGGGGCAACCCUGACCGAGCAACGCCGCGUGAAUGACGAAGUACUUCGGUAUGUAAAGUUCUUUUAUUAGGGAAGAAUGACUUGUGGAAAAGCAAGUGUGACGGUACCUAAUGAAUAAGCCCCGGCUAACUAUGUGCCAGCAGCCGCGGUAAUACAUAGGGGGCAAGCGUUAUCCGGAAUUAUUGGGCGUAAAGGGUGCGUAGGCGGUUAUUUAAGUCUUUGGUGUAAGUGCAGAGCUCAACUCUGUGAUGCUAAGGAAACUGGAUAACUUGAGUGUGGUAGAGGUAAGUAGAAUUCCAUGUGUAGCGGUAAAAUGCGUAAAUAUAUGGAGGAAUACCAGUGGCGAAGGCGGCUUACUGGGCCACAACUGACGCUGAGGCACGAAAGCGUGGGGAGCAAACAGGAUUAGAUACCUUGGUAGUCCACGCCGUAAACGAUGAGUACUAAGUGUUGGAGAAAUUCAGUGCUGUAGUUAACGCAAUAAGUACUCCGCCUGAGUAGUACGUGCGCAAGCAUGAAAACUCAAAGGAAUUGACGGGACCCCGCACAAGCGGUGGAUCAUGUUGUUUAAUUCGAUGAUACGCGAAGAACCUUACCAGGUCUUGACAUCCCAUGCAAAGCUUAAGAGAUUAAGUGGAGGUUACCAUGGAGACAGGUGGUGCAUGGUUGUCGUCAGCUCGUGUCGUGAGAUGUUGGGUUAAGUCCCGCAACGAGCGCAACCCUUAUUGCUAGUUACCAUCAUUAAGUUGGGGACUCUAGCGAGACUGCCAGUGAUAAACUGGAGGAAGGUGGGGAUGACGUCAAAUCAUCAUGCCCCUUAUGACCUGGGCUACAAACGUGAUACAAUGGCUGAAACAAAGGGCAGCGAAGCAGUGAUGUGAAGCGAAACCCAAAAAAGCAGUCUCAGUUCGGAUUGAAGUCUGCAACUCGACUUCAUGAAGUCGGAAUCGCUAGUAAUCGCGAAUCAGAAUGUCGCGGUGAAUACGUUCUCGGGGUUUGUACACACCGCCCGUCAAACCACGAAAGUUGACAAUACCCAAAGCCGGUGGCCUAACUCUUUUAGAGAGGGAGCCGUUUAAGGUAGGGUUGAUGAUUGGGGUU
This 1121-nucleotide ribosomal RNA is filed under the name uncultured bacterium. RNAcentral describes it as "bacterial SSU rRNA". It matches the Rfam family "Bacterial small subunit ribosomal RNA", at positions 353 to 1482 of the family's 1533-position model. The record is from RNAcentral.